UACGUAGGAGGCGAGCGUUGUCCGGAGUUACUGGGCGUAAAGGGUGCGCAGGCGGUGGCCCGCGUGGGCGGUGAAAGCUCCUGGCUCAACUGGGAGAGGGCCGUCCAGACGGGGUCACUUGAGGGGCGGAGAGGGGCGUGGAAUUCCGGGUGGAGCGGUGAAAUGCGUAGAGAUCCGGAGGAACACCGACGGCGUAGGCAGCGCCCUAGACGAGACCUGACGCUCAGGCACGAAAGCGCGGGGAGCGAACAGG
Molecule: ribosomal RNA, 253 nt
Filed under: uncultured bacterium
Lineage: Bacteria
Description: partial 16S ribosomal RNA
Rfam family: Bacterial small subunit ribosomal RNA
Source: RNAcentral